CGGCGGUGUAUCCCGCCACCGUCACCUGCAAAGUUUUGGGUAAUGGUUUGCAUCUUUGCCUAUGGUCAAACAGGAUCAGGCAAAACAUAUACCAGUUGGCUAGAAGCUGUUUCAAUCCAACUGUUCUUUCAGGCAUACUGUGGCUGGACCCUGCGGAUUGUGUUUCAUUAGGACUGUCAGUGGCACUAUUUUCUUGGUCAAAGCCUUUACUGGUUAGAAUUUAUGUGUUGUAAUCUUUAA
This is a long non-coding RNA of Humulus lupulus (European hop), 240 nucleotides long. RefSeq lists it as uncharacterized. NCBI's taxonomy places the organism in Eukaryota, Viridiplantae, Streptophyta, Magnoliopsida, Rosales, Cannabaceae. The transcript has 3 exons. The record is from RefSeq and is a predicted model, not a curated record.